RNAcentral lists this ribosomal RNA (301 nucleotides) under uncultured bacterium. Its description in RNAcentral is "partial 16S ribosomal RNA". It matches the Rfam family "Bacterial small subunit ribosomal RNA", at positions 509 to 807 of the family's 1533-position model. The record is from RNAcentral.
CAGCCGCCGCGGGAAUACGGAGGGUGCAAGCGUUAAUCGGAAUUACUGGGCGUAAAGCGCACGCAGGCGGUUUCUUAAGUCUGAUGUGAAAGCCCCCGGCUCAACCGGGGAGGGUCAUUGGAAACUGGGAAACUUGAGUGCAGAAGAGGAGAGUGGAAUUCCACGUGUAGCGGUGAAAUGCGUAGAGAUGUGGAGGAACACCAGUGGCGAAGGCGACUCUCUGGUCUGUAACUGACGCUGAGGAGCGAAAGCGUGGGGAGCGAACAGGAUUAGAUACCCGCGUAGUCCCUGUCUCUUAUAC